Molecule: ribosomal RNA, 482 nt
Filed under: uncultured bacterium
Lineage: Bacteria
Description: partial 16S ribosomal RNA
Rfam family: Bacterial small subunit ribosomal RNA
Source: RNAcentral
CUUGAACGCUGGCGGCAUGCCUUACACAUGCAAGUCGAACGGUAACGGGCCUUCGGGUGCCGCCGAGUGGCGGGCGGGGGUGUAAUACAUCGUAACGUGCCCGCUCGUGGGGGUUCAAGCGGCGAAAGCUUUGCUAAUACCGCAUACGACCUACGAAUGAGAGAAGGGGACCGCAAGGCCUUGCGCGGGCGUCCCCGCCGAUGGCAGAUUAGGCAGGUGGUGGGGUAAAAGCAUACCAAGACGACGAUCUGGAGCUGGUCUUAGAGGAGGAUCAGCCACACUUGGACUGAGACACGGGCCAGAGUCCUACGGGAGGCAGUAGGCGGGAACUUUGGACCAUGGGGGCAAGCCUGAUCCAGCCAUGCCGCGUGGAGUAUGAAGGUGCUCGGGUCGUGAGCUGCGUUUGUCCGGAACUAAACUAAUCCUAGUAACACGGAGGGUUCAGGAUGGUACCGUAAGAAUAAGCACCGGCUAAAUACGUG